This 264-nucleotide ribosomal RNA is filed under the name uncultured bacterium. Its description in RNAcentral is "partial 16S ribosomal RNA". It matches the Rfam family "Bacterial small subunit ribosomal RNA", at positions 793 to 1055 of the family's 1533-position model. The record is from RNAcentral.
GUCCUAGCCGUAAACGGUGUGAACUUGGUGUGGGAGGAAUUAUCCCCUUCCGUGCCGUAGCUAACGCGAUAAGUUCACCGCCUGGGGAGUACGGCCGCAAGGCUAAAACUCAAAGGAAUUGACGGGGGCCCGCACAAGCGGUGGAGCAUGUGGCUUAAUUCGAUGCAACGCGAAGAACCUUACCUGGGCUUGACAUGUGACUGGAUGCCCCGUGAAAGCGGGGAGGCUCUCGAGGCUGUCACACAGGUGCUGCAUGGCUGUCGU